This 76-nucleotide transfer RNA is filed under the name Deltaproteobacteria bacterium. RNAcentral's name for it is "tRNA-Thr". It matches the Rfam family "tRNA". From Rfam's summary of the family: Transfer RNA (tRNA) molecules are approximately 80 nucleotides in length. Their secondary structure includes four short double-helical elements and three loops (D, anti-codon, and T loops). Lineage: Bacteria; Pseudomonadati; Myxococcota; Myxococcia. The record is from RNAcentral.
GCCGACGUAGCUCAAUUGGCAGAGCUCCUGAUUUGUAAUCAGGUGGUUAAGGGUUCAAGUCCCCUCGUCGGCUCCA